This 2563-nucleotide long non-coding RNA is filed under the name Lactuca sativa (garden lettuce). RNAcentral's name for it is "long non-coding RNA (LSAT_LNC002380)". Lineage: Eukaryota; Viridiplantae; Streptophyta; Magnoliopsida; Asterales; Asteraceae. The record is from RNAcentral.
AGCAUACUCUUUUUCCCUAUCGAGAUAGACUUCUUAUGUUUCAACACCCUUCAUUUGUAUCUUCAUUAACUGUGUUUUGAGAGUGUAUUCACUGGAAGACGUGUGAGGAGAGUAGGCACGUUCUAGAGAGAGCCAGACUUCACGUGAUGUAGUAGUGCCUUGAACAUGUGGGAAGGCAGCCUCUGAGAUUGUAGAGAUGAUCAACAUCCUGACAUGGGCAUCAUUAGAAAUCCAAAUCGGAUAGUUAGGGUUUGGCUAAGAUUUAGUGGUGGCUUCUUUUUCUGAAGUACUCGUAUUUUCAAUUGUUUUCCAGUGGGCAAGGAAUGGUACUAUCGACAUAACCAAUGAGAUUGUUUGUGACAAGAAAAGGAUGAAUCAUGGUUUUCCAAAAACAAUAGAGCCAUUGUACAUUCGAAGGUUUAGAAGAAGGAUUAGAAGGAUGGUGGCCAUUAGGGUUGCCGAGAAUUAUGCUAUGAUACCAAGACAAACUUGGCCAAAUAUUGUGUAUUAGUAUUAUAUCAAUAAUCACUUACCUAAGGAGUAUAUAUAGAUCAUACAAUUACACUAUGCAUCCCUAUAAUACUAAACUAUUUUAUAAUUGUCUAAUAGUCAGCUAUCAUUACACUUUCAGAUGAACCAGAUUUGUCUGUCCGGGCCGGUCCAUUAGGUUUUAAUACCCAGGGCAAGAUAAGAAUUUCAUGCCCUUUUAUACGUACCACACAAUAAGCAAUACGUAUAAAGAAUUUAUAAAAAGAUAAAUGUGGUAAAUUUUACAAUAAAAAAAAAAUAAAACAAGCAAAAACCUACAAAAAUAACCUAAAAUGAUGUCUUCAUACAUUUUUUUUACACAAAAACAUCUCUUAUUUUACUUUAUGAUAGUCAAUAUUUUGUACUUUAUGAUGCUUGAAAAGCUAAUCCUUCCAAUCUUUCUUAAAGAUACAAUUUCAAGAGAUUAAAUUUUAUAAAAACCACAUUUCGUUAUAUUUUGACUUCUUGUUUCUACUUUUCACAUGCCAAGAGACCUGAAAAAUGAAUCAUAGAAUCAAAAAUAGUAAUCUGUUUUUAAAAUUACCAUCAAAUAUUAACAAUAAAAAUAAUUUAUACCUUUUAUUGCCUCUAGAAGUCCACAUAUUUAAAAUAAACGAGAGCCAAUUCAUAUCACAGAAACGAAAACACAAAAGUUUAGAAAGAACAUUUACAAAUUUAUAGCAGAAGUAAACAAUAGAUAACAAAUGGUCACAAAUUGUACACGAAGGCUGAAGCAAACCAUUUCAAAAAUCAGAUACAAAUCAACAGAUUUCAAUCUCAAACUAAAGAGAAGUCAGAUAUAAAAAUCCAAUAGAUCUUUCAGACAUUGACUCUUUUUUGCUGUAAUAAAAUAGAGAAAAAAUAAAAUAGAUAAGAACAAAGUAGAUUUCUGAAUCAAACCUAAAUAAACAAAAUUUGAACUAAAAUAGAGAAAAAUCGAGUCUAGUAAAACUUGAACAAGCCAUUCAUUACAACAACCAACAAGAAUCAAUUUUAUUUCUGAAACAAAAAGCAAAAACACUAAAGAUAAAUCACUUCAAAAAACUAGAAUGAGAACAAGAAAAGGAAAUCGGAAUAAGAGAAAUUGAACUCAUCUAGAUCAGAAUCACACCCAAAUAAGAGUCGUUGUAUCAUAACAAUGUAUCUUGGACCUAGAAUGCUUGCAAGUUGAAUCACGAUCUUUAACCAUAGAGAAAUCAGAAAUUAGAAAACAUAACUUGAAAAAUAAAGAAAUUGGAAUGUUUAGAAACUAGAAAUCAGAGAAUCAGAAUAACUUAAAGAUUGAAUUGAAACUUGGGAGCUAUAUAUUAUCGACUGAAUAUGAAAAAUUCAGAAAUCGAUUCUUACUCUUUAUUUAUCAGAGACAUAAGGUGAUUCUAGGGCAUCAAAUUCUCCAAUCGAUAACAACAUGUUUCAAAGCGCCGGACGUUUGGAUUUUCUAUACGCAAUUGAUGAACGCUCGAUGAUUGUCUGGCGCCUAAGGUUUUCUUGCCCUGCUUUCUCACGUCCUGACAGAUCACAAGAUAUGGGGCUAUUUUUUGGGCCACUUUAUAUGUAAAAGAACCAUAGCUGGAUGCCCCCAUAAACUUCCUACCCUGGGCCUAAGCCCAAGUUGCCUAGGUACUGGGCCGGGCCUGCGAGUGUAUGUCGUUAUAACUAGUUAAUCUUGCUAUGAUGUCAUCAGAAAAGUUGCUCAACAUUAGAUAUCAUGUCUCUGGAAAAUUAUGAUGUCUAUCAACAUUAAUAGCCCUUGUUUUAGUUCUUUCUGGAUUCCAGUAAAAAUAGUCACACAUGACAAAUGGUUUUCAAAUUCUUCCACGAUCGAUUGAGGAUCCAUAAAACUACGGCUGCCAUUUCGCUGCUCCCAGUAGACAUGCAAGGGAGGUUCAGAUGAUGAAGCUUUUAUACUUGCAUUAAUGAGUCUUGAUUUGUUCUUUGUUAGGAAUGUAACAAAAUAAGAUGAUAUAUAGCACUUGUAUGUCAUAUUUUUCAAGUAAAUGUUUAAGAUAAGAAAGACCCUGAUUACUAACCUGCU